This 567-nucleotide ribosomal RNA is filed under the name uncultured bacterium. Its description in RNAcentral is "bacterial SSU rRNA". It matches the Rfam family "Bacterial small subunit ribosomal RNA", at positions 938 to 1501 of the family's 1533-position model. The record is from RNAcentral.
CAUGUGGUUUAAUUCGAAGCAACGUGCAGAACCUUACCAGCGUUUGACAUGGCUAGUAUGUUUUCCAGAGAUGGAUUACUUCAGUUCGGCUGGCUAGCACACAGGUGCUGCAUUGCUGUCGUCAGCUCGUGUCGUGAGAUGUUGGGUUAAGUCCCGCAACGAGCGCAACCCUCGCCUUUAGUUACCAUCAUUUAGUUGGGUACUCUAAAGGAACCGCCGGUGAUAAGCCGGAGGAAGGUGGGGAUGACGUCAAGUCCUCAUGGCCCUUACGCGCUGGGCUACACACGUGCUACAAUGGCGACUACAGUGGGCAGCAAUCCCGCGAGGGUGAGCUAAUCUCCAAAAGUCGUCUCAGUUCGGAUUGCACUCUGCAACUCGAGUGCAUGAAGGCGGAAUCGCUAGUAAUCGCGGAUCAGCAUGCCGCGGUGAAUACGUUCCCAGGCCUUGUACACACCGCCCGUCACACCAUGGGAGUUGGAUUCACCCGAAGGCGUUGCGCUAACCCGUAAGGGAGGCAGGCGACCACGGUGGGUUUAGCGACUGGGGUGAAGUCGUAACAAGGUAACC